Molecule: ribosomal RNA, 253 nt
Filed under: uncultured bacterium
Lineage: Bacteria
Description: partial 16S ribosomal RNA
Rfam family: Bacterial small subunit ribosomal RNA
Source: RNAcentral
UACGAAGGGGGCUAGCGUUGCUCGGAUUCACUGGGCGUAAAGCGCACGUAGGCGGAUCUUUAAGUCAGGGGUGAAAUCCUGGAGCUCAACUCCAGAACUGCCUUUGAUACUGGGGAUCUCGAGUCCGGAAGAGGUGAGUGGAACUCCGAGUGUAGAGGUGAAAUUCGUAGAUAUUCGGAAGAACACCAGUGGCGAAGGCGGCUCACUGGUCCGGUACUGACGCUGAGGUGCGAAAGCGUGGGGAGCAAACAGG